This 368-nucleotide ribosomal RNA is filed under the name uncultured organism. RNAcentral describes it as "partial 16S ribosomal RNA". It matches the Rfam family "Bacterial small subunit ribosomal RNA", at positions 527 to 896 of the family's 1533-position model. The record is from RNAcentral.
GGAGGUGGCAAGCGUUGUUCGGAUUUACUGGGUGUAAAGGUCAUGUAGGCGUCUUACUAAGUCGGGUGUGAAAUCCCUUGGCUCAACCAAGGAACUGCAUUCGAUACUGGUAAGAUUGAGUACGGGAGAGGAAAGCGGAAUUCCGGAAGUAAGGGUGAAAUCUGUAGAUAUCCGGAAGAACACCAUUAGCGAAGGCGGCUUUCUGGCCCGAUACUGACGCUGAAAUGAGAAAGCUAGGGGAGCGAACAGGAUUAGAUACCCUGGUAGUCCUAGCUGUAAACGAUGGGCACUAGAUGCAGGUCCCGCGAGGGGCUGUGUCGUAGCUAACGCGUUAAGUGCCCCACCUGGGAACUACGGUCGCAAGGCUA